UUUGGUCUUAGUAUAAGUCUAGCCAGUUUUUGAUUGGAAAGGAGCAAUAACCAACACUCUUGAUAGAAAAAGAAAUUGGUUAUUGUUCCUUUAUUUAGUGCUCUUUUCUUUACAUAAGUUUUUCUUUACUUCAACAUAAGAAAAAGUAUUCUAGUCUUAGGGAUUGCUUUAUGAUUGCUUAUCAUACUUUUUUCCUUAGAUAUGAAUUUAUAUACAUUCUUUUCAACCCUUUGUAAGGCUUUGUGAGAUUAUUAUCUUCUAGUUUUUUUUUUCAAAUAAAAUARAAAGGUUCUAAUUUUUCUGCUUCUUCUAUCUCAUAAUUAAGAUAGAAAAAU
This 335-nucleotide unclassified non-coding RNA is filed under the name Eucalyptus tereticornis. RNAcentral's name for it is "partial miscellaneous RNA". The record is from RNAcentral. Lineage: Eukaryota; Viridiplantae; Streptophyta; Magnoliopsida; Myrtales; Myrtaceae.